UGGGGAAUUGUUCGCAAUGGGCGCAAGCCUGACGACGCAACGCCGCGUGGAGGAUGAAGAUCUUCGGGUCGUAAACUCCUUUCGAUCGAGACGAACGGCUUCCGGGUGAACAAUCCGGGAGAGUGACGGUACCGAGAGAAGAAGCCCCGGCUAACUCCGUGCCAGCAGCCGCGGUAAUACGGGGGGGGCAAGCGUUGUUCGGAAUUACUGGGCGUAAAGGGCUCGUAGGUGGCCAACUAAGUCAGACGUGAAAUCCCUCGGCUUAACCGGGGAACUGCGUCUGAUACUGGAUGGCUUGAGUUUGGGAGAGGGACGCGGAAUUCCAGGUGUAGCGGUGAAAUGCGUAGAUAUCUGGAGGAACACCGGUGGCGAAGGCGGCGUCCUGGACCAACACUGACACUGAUGAGCGAAAGCCAGGGGAGCAAACG
Molecule: ribosomal RNA, 428 nt
Filed under: uncultured bacterium
Lineage: Bacteria
Description: bacterial SSU rRNA
Rfam family: Bacterial small subunit ribosomal RNA
Source: RNAcentral